AGGCAGAGAAGAUAGCCUCUCAAAUGAUAACAGAGGGUCGCAUGAAUGGAUUUAUUGAUCAGAUAGAUGGAAUAGUUCACUUUGAAACUCGAGAAGCCUUACCAACAUGGGACAAACAGAUUCAGUCACUUUGCUUCCAAGUUAACAAUCUUUUGGAGAAGAUUAGUCAGACUGCUCCAGAAUGGACAGCACAAGCUAUGGAGGCUCAGAUGGCUCAGUAAACCACCAUUCUGUUCCUUUCUGUAGAAAAGACUCUUGGUUGUUGUUGUAAAAAGGUGAAAUAAACAUAAGAAAUUGAAAUUCGGGCUCACACCACGACUUGUAUUAAAACUCCUAAAGGUUGCUCUUAAAGGUACAGUAGAACAUCAUAAGAGGUGUUAAGCUAUAAAGUAAAACUAACCGAGCAGAGUGUAAAGGCGUGUUAAGGUUUUAUAUUAAAAUUUCAGUUGCUUUCUAGCGUUGUGAGUAUUUAUGUGUUGUGAAAAUUAAGGUGCCAUGGUCUCCUUUGCUCUGGUUGUUCCAAUAAAGCUGGGGUUGGACUUAAUCAAA
Non-coding RNA from Pogona vitticeps (central bearded dragon), 549 nucleotides. The record is from RefSeq and is a predicted model, not a curated record. Lineage: Eukaryota; Metazoa; Chordata; Lepidosauria; Squamata; Agamidae.